CGCCGGUGUCAACUCACGUCAAGGUGUCCAUGUUGCGAGUGCAGUCGUAACGCUUUGGCGUUGGAUCCGAGCCCAUGGAGAAAGUUGGAGCUGUAGAGCUGUAUUGUCAACGAUGUCCACACACCGGAGUCGGAGAACACGUAUCAAAUAUUUUAAUUUGACUGAAGUUUUCGUCGCUGAGCAUCUGCAAGCCAGCCACAGUGCAAUGGACAUUAUCCUGACGAGUCAAGACAGUUCCCCCGAGUUUGCAAGUUCUGCAUCCUGCAUGCAGCCUAUAUCGUAGAAAUCACUGUCAGGGUCACUGGACGACAAUUAACUUAUCGUUGUUUAUGUGCACCACGGGCAGAUGAUGGAUUUGCCGCUAGUACAUCGCGAGUUUCUGUAUCCCCCUGACAUCACACUGCUAUGAAACGUCACCGAGAAGCCGCCCCCUCGAUAUCGAAACCAAAAGUGUCUUUCUAAGGUAACGAUAAAUAAAAUAUAUACGAUGCAUUCCCAGGCACCACAAUACUCGUUUUAGGUUUCUCGACACCAGUAUCUUUAUUUAGAGCAUCAAUCCGAAAAUUUUUAAAAUUCAUGUCAGUACUCCUUUAACAUACCUUUUUUCCUGUCUGUACUCAUAAGUAACCUCAACUCACUUGGCAAGAAUCUUUAGCACAUAAGCGACACAAGGACGAAAAGGGAGGGACAACGUCUGCACUAACUUUCAACGAAAUGGUUUAUUGCACACAAGGCACUAAUAGACACAGUGGUGGUGCCCUAGCACUUCACCAAGAUGCCAUGCAGAGAGAUAUGUCUUUUUCUGUUUUAUUUUGACAAAAUAUAUGGCACACUAUAAUCGCUUCGCGAACUACUACACAUUCAAUACAGUCACUUCUUUAUUCGAGAAGGAUAGUUGCGGAGUGCUAACACAAUUGGUACCCACUUUUACAAUUUUUGCAGCUUCUAUCAUCAGUCUCGUUAGUUCAACUCUAUUAGCUGAUGAAACCUUUGUGUCCUGAAAGAAAGGUUCAUACUCUCAUGCCCUACACUGUGACGCCAGCCAUCCAUCGUUGCAUUUGUUCACAAGAUUACAGUGCUCUCUUAACCUAUCAUUCAUGCAGUGGCCCAUUUCCUGACAUACCACUUACCACAUGAAAGAGGUAUCUGAUAAACGACAGCUUCUGAGCAUGUCCUAUGUCGUUUUGUGCAAGCAAUUGUCUUCUUUGGUGCUUGACUACUAAUUCUGCAAAUCGAUUUCAGCUUGCAUGGAGCUGAAAAACUACUUGUACAUUAGCACGUGACGCCAUCCUUUCCAUAACGGUAGUUGGAUAGCUUAACAACUCAACAGGACACACAGCACAUGGGAAAGGUUCACACACAACGCGUCGCAUAAACAGAAGUGUAAGUCGUAAAAGGCUUAAAUUAGGAAGUACCGCUCCAUUGCUCUAGUUGGCUGUUCCAACAGUGAUGUCGCUCAAAAAAGAAUAGCUGAUGUGCCAUACUUGCACAAAAUUUAGCAUUACAUAAUAAGGUUGGUGUCACAUACAAAUGUGCAAAUAGUUUUCCAGCUCUAUGAAAGCUGAACUCAAUUUGCAGAAUUUGCAGUCAAGCACGGAAGAAAACUGCUUGUAAGAAAACGAUAUAGGAUGUGGUUUGCGGAAUGUAGACAAGCUGCUGCUUAUCUGAUACCUCUUUUCUGCAGUAAGCAGUAUGCUGGGCAAACAAGCAGCUGCAUGAAUGAUAGGUUAAGAUAGCAUUGUAAUGUGUGAACCUUUCUUACAGAACACAAAGGUUUUGUCAACCAACAGAGCUGAACUAACGAGAUUUAUAAUACUAUUAGCUGCAGGAAUUGCAAAAAUUGGGUACCAAUCGUGUUAGCACUCUGUCCCUGUCGGAUAAAGAAUCUGCUUUCUUGAUUGUGCAAUAGUUCGUUAGUUGAUUAGUGUUACGUACGUCUUGUAAAAAUGAAGUGGAAAAAUACAAAUCUCUGUGCAUGGCUUCUUGGUGCAGUGUGAGGGUACCAACACUGUAUAAAUGUUUGCCUCGUGUGCAAUAAACGAUUUUGUUUAAAGUUAGUGCAUGUGUUGUGUCCCUCCAUUUUUCUCCUCGUGUUGCUUAUGUGCAAAAAAUUCUUAGUAUGUUGUCAACUAGGCUGAAUUUUUCCCUAAACCUCUGUCACCCUGUGCUGCAUCGUCUGUUGUCUUUUGACCAAACUAUAGCCUCUUGUUGUUUUUUUUGGUAUGCAGGUGUAUGUGCAUGCUUGACUGACAUUUUUUUAAUUUAAUAUGCCUUUUGUGUGCAAGAUGAAAUUAGAAUUCCAGAUAUUCCCAAAACCACAAUAUGAUUGUCACACACAGUGCUGUGGAGGAGCUCGUUAAUUUUGCCUACCCUAGAUUCUUUAGCAUAUCUAGAUUUACUUCAUUAAGUGAGACAAAAUCAGCUGUUCAACCGCCCCUGCUUUUGGCAUUUACAAAUGUUCGACAAUUCGACAAAGUAUUGCUGCUGUGCUUGUGCGUUUGCCAAGUCAGCCUUCCGAUUUUUGUUGUGGUGAUACAUGCCUGCUCGAUGGAGACACCUUGUAUUUAUUGUGCCUUUUGCGUGCAGGUUUUUGGACAAAGUCAUCAAUUCCAUUGCUCUUCCUGUGCCAAGUGGCCAGGAUAAUGGUUGAAAUUGCUACAAUAAAGGUUAUGA
Molecule: long non-coding RNA, 2673 nt
Organism: Rhipicephalus sanguineus (brown dog tick)
Lineage: Eukaryota; Metazoa; Arthropoda; Arachnida; Ixodida; Ixodidae
Exons: 3
Source: RefSeq, a predicted model, not a curated record